UACGUAGGGUGCAAGCGUUAAUCGGAAUUACUGGGCGUAAAGCGUGCGUAGGUGGUUCGUUAAGUCUGAUGUGAAAGCCCUGGGCUCAACCUGGGAAUGGCAUUGGAUACUGGCGACCUAGAGUGCGGUAGAGGGGUGUGGAAUUCCCGGUGUAGCAGUGAAAUGCGUAGAUAUCGGGAGGAACAUCUGUGGCGAAGGCGACACCCUGGACCAGCACUGACACUGAGGCACGAAAGCGUGGGGAGCAAACAGG
This 253-nucleotide ribosomal RNA is filed under the name uncultured bacterium. Its description in RNAcentral is "partial 16S ribosomal RNA". It matches the Rfam family "Bacterial small subunit ribosomal RNA", at positions 524 to 776 of the family's 1533-position model. The record is from RNAcentral.